GCUCGGAUCUCCACCUGGUUUGGCGCUUGGCUGAGUUUUGCCCCUUAGGGCUUUCCAUACUGAGUUUCAGAACUCUUCACUUCAGCGGGUAAGAAGCGCCCGAUUUCCUGGUACGAGGCACAAUGGGCAUUUCUUUGAACUGGGGGAGAAUGACUCGAAUAGACGAGAGCGGAGAUGAAAACAGGCCUAGCCAAACACUCGGGGCAGCAGCAGAGCCCGGAAACUGACAGGCGGUUCCUAAACAGAUAUGAAGCUUCGCUAUUGGUUGGAGCUCACCGAUCCAGUUUACCGAAUGGCCAGCGCGAUCCGUCACUCACCGAGUCGGCGCAUGUAGUAUAAUCCGUCGCUGGAUACAGAAAUGAAUUGUAGAAGUAAGAUUGAUGUGUUGUGCGGUGAUAAAGUUUCCUAACUGUGGUUUGGUCUGUCUGAAGGAUUCACGAUUUGUUUAUGUGAAUUAGCAGACAUUUUAUUUACUUGUAUUUAAAUUACAGGCGCGUGGUGUAAACACUUUCCUCGCGUUAUAGUUUGGUCUAUUUGCAUAUUUGAGGCAAAGUCACUCAGUAGUUUUAUUAUUAUUUUUUUUGUAGUGCACUUACUAGGGUAGGUUUAUGACAAACUCGAUCUGAUAUAAAGAAAUCCAAGAUGAGGUUUUCAAACAUUUAAAAUAAGUGAAAUAUUGAGGUGAUAAAAUUCAGGUUUGAAUUGGAAUCCACGGACAGGUGUGGAAAUACCUUUUCUUCAUAAUCUGCUCAUUUCUCUCAAAGGCACUAUUUAGUUUGGUGGUGCACUAUACCUCUUUUACUCAAUAAACACUAAUGCUUCUUUACACAGCAGCUCACUUUACUUCCUAGUCACAGUACUCCAUCGCUGCUCCACUUGUGCAGUGUGCUGUUGUUCCUUUACUCAGUAGUAGUGUUCAAGACUGCUUUAGCUGUGACCGAUAGAAUCCGAGACAAGACCAUAGCCGAUAGAAUCCGAGACAAGACCAUAGCCAAUAGACUCCAAGUCAAGACCAAGACCAUAGCCAAUAGACUCCGAGUCAAGACCAUAGCCAACAGACUCCGAACCAAGACCAUAGCCAAUAGACUCCGAGUCAAGACCAAGACCAAGAAAGUACUUUAUGCGAGGGUGAAAAAAUAUUCAGUUGCACCGGUGCUAGUGACCUGUUAAGAGUUGAAAUAUUGAGGUGAUAAAAUUCAGGUUUGAAUUGGAAUGACUUUUAGUCCACGGACAGGUGUGGAAAUACCUUUUCUUCAUAAUCUGCUCAUUUCUCUCAAAGGCACUAUUUAGUUUGGUGGUGCACUAAACCUCUUUUACUCAAUAAACACUAAUGCUUCUUUACACAGCAGCUCACUUUACUUCCUAGUCACAGUAUUCCAUCGCUGCUCCACUUGUGCAGUGUGCUGUUGUUCCUUUACUCAGUAGUAGUGUUCAAGACUGCUUUAGCUGUGACCGAUAUAUAUAUA
Molecule: long non-coding RNA, 1466 nt
Organism: Ictalurus punctatus (channel catfish)
Lineage: Eukaryota; Metazoa; Chordata; Actinopteri; Siluriformes; Ictaluridae
Source: Ensembl